RNAcentral lists this ribosomal RNA (246 nucleotides) under uncultured Latescibacterota bacterium. RNAcentral's name for it is "uncultured Latescibacteria bacterium partial 16S ribosomal RNA". It matches the Rfam family "Bacterial small subunit ribosomal RNA", at positions 1140 to 1382 of the family's 1533-position model. The record is from RNAcentral. Lineage: Bacteria; Pseudomonadati; Candidatus Latescibacterota.
CUGGGGAGACUGCCGGUGAUAAACCGGAGAAGGCGGGGAUGACGUCAAGUCCUCAUGGCCCCUUACAUCCCGGGCUACACACGUGCUACAAUGGCAGGUACAGAGGGCUGCGAAGCCGCGAGGUGGAGCGAAAUCCCAGAAAACCUGUCUCAGUCCGGAUUGAAGUCUGCAACUCGACUUCAUGAAGGCGGAAUCCGCUAGUAACCGCGAAUCAGCCAGGUCGCGGUGAAUACGUUCCCGGGCCUU